Molecule: long non-coding RNA, 231 nt
Filed under: Prunus dulcis (almond)
Lineage: Eukaryota; Viridiplantae; Streptophyta; Magnoliopsida; Rosales; Rosaceae
Description: sRNA ncRNA
Source: RNAcentral
UUUCAAAAACGUUAAAAAUCAAACUCACGGCAUGCUUUCUCUGCUCUAUCUGCCAUUCCAUAUGAAUAUAUGAUUUCUUUGUAAACUCACAGCCACCAGUCAACAAGCAGGCCAUGCCUUCACGUUCGCAUUCACGUCCAAAGAAAACCAUUUCAAAAUCUGCUAAGAAACAAAUGAAGUGUACCAAAGAAUCCAUCUACCAGUCUCCACCUAUCCUUCAUGUCCGAGGUU